GACGAACGCUGGCGGCGUGCUUAACACAUGCAAGUCGAACGGGAUCCGGGCUUUCGGGUUUGGUGCGAGUGGCGAACGGGUGAGUAACACGUGAGUAACCUGCCCCCCUCUUUGGGAUAACGUCGGGAAAUCGUCGCUAAUACUGGAGAUUCUUGCUCCAUCGCAUGGUGUGGUUUGGAAAGGGUUUCUGGUGGGGGAUGGGCUCGCGGGCUAUCAGCUUGUUGGUGGGGUGAUGGCCUACGAAGGCUUUGACGGGUAGCCGGCCUGAGAGGGUGUCCGGGAGCACUGGGACUGCGACACUGACCAGGAUACUACGGGCGGCAGCAGUGGGGAAGAAUGCGCGAUGAACGCAAGCCUGAGGCAGCGACGCCGCGUGAGGGAUGACGGGCUUCGGGUUGUAAACCUCUUUCAGUAUGGAACAAGGAUCCUUGGUUUGGGGGGUUUGAGGGUAGGUGCAGAAGAAGCGCCGGCUAACUACGUG
RNAcentral lists this ribosomal RNA (481 nucleotides) under uncultured bacterium. RNAcentral's name for it is "partial 16S ribosomal RNA". It matches the Rfam family "Bacterial small subunit ribosomal RNA", at positions 28 to 507 of the family's 1533-position model. The record is from RNAcentral.